GACGAACGCUGGCGGCGUGCUUAACACAUGCAAGUCGAACGGAAAGACCCUACUUUUGUGGGCUUCUCGAUUGCCGAACGGGGGAGUAACACGUGAGUACCCUGCCCUUGUCUUUGGGGUAACUUCAGGAAACUGGGGCUAAUACCAGAUAGGAGCUCCUGCUGCGUGGUGGGCGUUGGAAAUUUUCGGCUUUUGGGGAUGGACUUGCGGCUUAUGAGCUUGUUGGUGGGGUAGUUACCUACCCAGGCGUUGACGGGUACCCGGACUGAGAGGGUGACCGGCCACACGGGAGCGGGACCACGCACCAGACUCCUGCGGGAGGCAGCAGUGGGGAACGUGGGACAAUGGGGGAAAGCCUGACGCAGCGAGCCCGCGUGGGUGACGAAGGCGUUGGGGUCGUAAAGCCCGUUUGUGGGGAAAAAACAGCUGGAGAUUGAUACGUAGCGGUUGUGACGGUACCCAAUAAAGAAGCACCGGCUAACUACGUG
This 488-nucleotide ribosomal RNA is filed under the name uncultured bacterium. Its description in RNAcentral is "partial 16S ribosomal RNA". It matches the Rfam family "Bacterial small subunit ribosomal RNA", at positions 28 to 507 of the family's 1533-position model. The record is from RNAcentral.